This is a long non-coding RNA of Macrosteles quadrilineatus (aster leafhopper), 403 nucleotides long. RefSeq lists it as uncharacterized. The transcript has 3 exons. Lineage: Eukaryota; Metazoa; Arthropoda; Insecta; Hemiptera; Cicadellidae. The record is from RefSeq and is a predicted model, not a curated record.
CCUUGAUGGUAAAAAGGUGAUUCUUUCCUCCCCAGAAGAUGUGGUCACGUCCAGGACAAUAACUGUAGUUCCGAACCGUGUGCUGAUUCUCUUUGCCCCUUUGAUCUUGGCCGGCUCCGUAAGGUCUCUAACAGCAAUCUUCAAUGGGGAUGAAAGCACUUCACAUGACUCUAGUCUGGCAGAAAGAUCCAUCUAAAACCAUACAGAUGCUCAAGGAGGACCCGAUUUGAGAUUAUAAUCAUUCACUUUAAUCUGGAAGAUGACACUACAUGUGAUCAUGAAGUGGAGAAAGAGGAAUAAUUGACGUAAGAGUCUUGGACAAUGUGGGGAGUACGUACACAAAGCGGAGGAAAGGCGAGGAAGGCGAGGACAUACAGGAAGGCGAGGAAGGAGAGGAGGAGAC